RNAcentral lists this ribosomal RNA (560 nucleotides) under Candida tropicalis. RNAcentral's name for it is "eukaryotic LSU rRNA". It matches the Rfam family "Eukaryotic large subunit ribosomal RNA", at positions 62 to 637 of the family's 3401-position model. Lineage: Eukaryota; Fungi; Ascomycota; Pichiomycetes; Serinales; Debaryomycetaceae. The record is from RNAcentral.
AAACCAACAGGGAUUGCCUUAGUAGCGGCGAGUGAAGCGGCAAAAGCUCAAAUUUGAAAUCUGGCUCUUUCAGAGUCCGAGUUGUAAUUUGAAGAAGGUAUCUUUGGGUCUGGCUCUUGUCUAUGUUUCUUGGAACAGAACGUCACAGAGGGUGAGAAUCCCGUGCGAUGAGAUGAUCCAGGCCUAUGUAAAGUUCCUUCGAAGAGUCGAGUUGUUUGGGAAUGCAGCUCUAAGUGGGUGGUAAAUUCCAUCUAAAGCUAAAUAUUGGCGAGAGACCGAUAGCGAACAAGUACAGUGAUGGAAAGAUGAAAAGAACUUUGAAAAGAGAGUGAAAAAGUACGUGAAAUUGUUGAAAGGGAAGGGCUUGAGAUCAGACUUGGUAUUUUGUAUGUUACUUCUUCGGGGGUGGCCUCUACAGUUUAUCGGGCCAGCAUCAGUUUGGGCGGUAGGAGAAUUGCGUUGGAAUGUGGCACGGCUUCGGUUGUGUGUUAUAGCCUUCGUCGAUACUGCCAGCCUAAACUGGAGGACUGCGGUUUAUACCUAGGAUGUUGGCAUAAUGA